CUGCUGCCUCCCGUAGGAGUCUGGUCCGUGUCUCAGUACCAGUGUGGGGGACCUUCCUCUCAGAACCCCUACGCAUCGUCGCCCCGGUGGGCCGUUACCCCGCCGACUAGCUAAUGCGACGCAUGGCCAUCCUAUGCCGGAGUCGCCUCCUUUGACCACCUGGAGAUGCCUCCAAAUGGUGUUAUGCGGUAUUAGACGGAAUUUCUUCCGCUUAUCCCCCUGCAUAGGGCAGGUUCCAUACGUGUUACUCACCCGUGCGCCGG
This 263-nucleotide ribosomal RNA is filed under the name uncultured bacterium. Its description in RNAcentral is "partial 16S ribosomal RNA". The record is from RNAcentral.